UGCCAGCCGCCGCGGUAAUACGGAGGGGGCAACCGUUGUUCGGAAUCACUGGGCUUAAAGAGCACGUAGGCGGGAGAGUAAGUUGAUUGUGAAAGCCCAUGGCUUACCCAUGGAAUUGCAUUCAAAACUGCUUUUCUUGAGUAUGGAAGGGGAGAGUGGAACUCCUAGUGGAGCGGUGAAAUGCGUUGAUAUUAGGAGGAACGCCGGUGGCGAAAGCGACUCUCUGGUCCAUGUCUGACGCUGAGGUGCGAAAGCCAGGGGAGCAAACGGGAUUAGAUA
RNAcentral lists this ribosomal RNA (279 nucleotides) under uncultured bacterium. RNAcentral's name for it is "partial 16S ribosomal RNA". It matches the Rfam family "Bacterial small subunit ribosomal RNA", at positions 506 to 784 of the family's 1533-position model. The record is from RNAcentral.